AUCACUUCUUGACCUUUUGGCUAAGAUCAAGUGUAGUAUCUGUUCUUGCCAGUUUAAAAUGUCUGUUCGUUCCUUUGCCAAUUUCUAUACUGGGAUUGCUCUUUUCCUUGUUGAUCAGCAGAAAUUCU
RNAcentral lists this small nuclear RNA (128 nucleotides) under Mandrillus leucophaeus (drill). Its description in RNAcentral is "U2 spliceosomal RNA (ENSMLEG00000011031.1)". It matches the Rfam family "U2 spliceosomal RNA". Rfam says of the family: U2 is a small nuclear RNA (snRNA) component of the spliceosome (involved in pre-mRNA splicing). Complementary binding between U2 snRNA (in an area lying towards the 5' end but 3' to hairpin I) and the branchpoint sequence (BPS) of the intron results the bulging out of an unpaired adenosine, on the BPS, which initiates a nucleophilic attack at the intronic 5' splice site, thus starting the first of two transesterification reactions that mediate splicing. The record is from RNAcentral. Lineage: Eukaryota; Metazoa; Chordata; Mammalia; Primates; Cercopithecidae.